RNAcentral lists this ribosomal RNA (468 nucleotides) under uncultured bacterium. Its description in RNAcentral is "partial 16S ribosomal RNA". It matches the Rfam family "Bacterial small subunit ribosomal RNA", at positions 28 to 507 of the family's 1533-position model. The record is from RNAcentral.
GACGAACGCUGGCGGCGUGCUUAACACAUGCAAGUCGAACGGAAAGGCCCGGCUUUUGUGGGGUGCUCGAGUGGCGCACGGGGGAGUAACACGCGUGUAACCUGCCCUUGCCUUUCGGAUAACUUCUGGAAACUGGGGCGAAUACCGCAUAGGAGCUCUUGCUGCACGGGGGGGGUUGGAAAGUUUCGGCGGUUGGGGAUGGACUCGCGGAUUAUCAGCUUGUUGGUGGGGUAGUGGCUGACCAAGGCUUUGACGGGUAGCGGGCCUGAGAGGGUGGCCGGCCACACUGGGCAUGCGAUUCGGGCAGGAGUCAUACGGGAGGCAGCAGUGGGGAAUGUUGCACAAUGGGAGGAAGCCUGAGGCAGCAACGCCGGCUGUGGGAUGACGGCCUUCGGGUGGUAAACCGCUUUCGCCUGUGACGAAGGGUGAGUGACGGUAAUGGUAAAAGAAGCACCGGCUAACUACGUG